UCCGUAGGGGGCAAGCGUUGUCCGGAAUUAUUGGGCGUAAAGCGCGCGCAGGCGGUUAAUUAAGUCAGAUGUGAAAGGCUACGGCUCAACCGUAGAGUUGCAUUUGAAACUGGUUAACUUGAGUGCAGGAGAGGUGAGUGGAAUUCCCGGUGUAGCGGUGGAAUGCGUAGAGAUCGGGAGGAACACCAGUGGCGAAGGCGGCCCACUGGCCUGCAACUGACGCUGAGGCGCGAAAGCGUGGGGAGCGAACAGG
Molecule: ribosomal RNA, 253 nt
Filed under: uncultured bacterium
Lineage: Bacteria
Description: partial 16S ribosomal RNA
Rfam family: Bacterial small subunit ribosomal RNA
Source: RNAcentral